GUCCACCAAUUGCAUUUUGAGAGCUCAGAUAAGCAGAGAGCAAUGCAAUUUGUCACGGAAGGAUGAUUAUGUAUAUGCACUGUCAUGUCUAUUUCCAUGCCUAACUCAAAGGAGACACAGGGAGAAAGUGAGCUUAGCCUGGGUAAAUUGGAGGUUGUGAUGACUUCUAGGAAGCCUCAGGAAAGAGAAACAAAGACAACGCUGGCCUGCUGCUCUCUGCAAUAGUGGGACCCUUGUGGGAUAACUGUUUUAGGAAUGAAGGUGUCUACCCUCUCUAGAAAUGAAAACGCAAGUUUGGCUGUGGUUAAGUAUUGGAUGGACGCAAAAAGAAACUGACAUAUUUGCUUCUUUUCAAUUGUUUGAUUCACCCUGAAGGGUAUGGCUGCCUAAUUUUUUUUCUCCAGAGAUAGGUGGACAGAUAAAGACAGGAAAGUAACAUCCGCAGACUGCCCUCUGUGAAGGUGACAGUGAUGAAGGGAACGCUUGAUCUGAACACUGGUAAAUAAAGUGACCGCAUAUUUCCCUAGCCAGGAGAGCAAUCUGGCUCAAAAGAAACGAGAACAAUGACAUUACUGCCAGGCUGCUCCUAAGCCUUUGGCUAUGCUGUUCAGUGCACAUAAAAAGCAGUGAACAUAGCUGUGACCUGCCUUGUUGGCAGUAUCACAAUUCUUUGGGGCUCCACUUUGAGAAAUUGAGACCUACCUACCUUAACCCUGGGGGCGGGUUAAGCUUUCAGACUGGAAUCAUAACUGAACUAUUCAUUUGCAGUAAUUCUGGGUUUUGUGCAUAUUUUAAAAAGGAAUACCGGGCUUGCCUAUAUUCAUUACAACGUCCUCCCAGCUUUCAAAUCUUCUAAUACAAUGCCUCUUCUCUAGUCUUUUAAGCACAUCCUGUGACUGGAUAUGAUUAUGGGAGAUUUACAUGCAUCCUUGUCUAUUGUAUCAAAAGAUCAGCGAAUAAAAUGCCCAUCAUUAAAACCCCAAAGUGAUUGGAUUGGCAUGAGGAAUGGGGAUGGGGCUGGCAUGGAAGAGAGGGUUCUGACUCUGAGAUUUCAUGAAAUGCAAAACAAUAGGACAGCUGCUCUUCCAUAAACAGAUUAUUAUUAUUAUUUCUACCUAGACAGCUUGAUAGCAGCCAUUAUCUUCUUUCCGGGUGUCUUAUCAAGUUCUGGCUGUGUGCAGCAUGGGUGAUAAGGAAUGAGAAAUGUCACCCAUGGGAUUGCCAAGGAUUAUUUCUAUGCACUGCUGUUCAGCAACAGCCAAUCUCUCAGAACUGAGAAGUAGUCCUAUUGUUCACGCUGGGCAGUUGCUAUUCUGACUAUCCCAAGAGAGCAGAAAACGGAUGUAGUUGCCAUUGUGCAAAAGAUUGAUAUUUCAUUACUUUCAGCUAAAGUUCAAGCAGUCUUGAUUUUGAAAAGCAGAAUCAUCAUGAAAUAUCUUUGAAGAGAGAGAAGACAAGGGAAGAAAAGAAGAAUGAAAUGAGUUCAGAGCUUUUUAGAACUGUGAGGGGGUGCGAAAAAAGAAAGGUGUGAUACUUUCAAACAGUGGAAGUUAAAAUGCCAGGCGUCUAAGCCUCAGUGAAAUUGAGCAGCAUCACAUCACCUUGACUUGUGGUCCAGCUGUUUAUUGCAAAGACUCCAUCUUGCAUUACUCAUCAGAAAAUAGUUAACUUUGUAUCUGGCAUUAUUUUAAUUAAAAAAAAAGUUAACUUACUAGAUUUCUGUUUGUGUUUCAUACAAGGUUCUUGAAUGAAAAUAAUCUGUUGAUAUUUAACAUUUUUCCUUUCCUUCUCAAUGAGAACAUGAAUGUUUUAUUAUACAUGCA
Molecule: long non-coding RNA, 1823 nt
Organism: Pongo pygmaeus (Bornean orangutan)
Lineage: Eukaryota; Metazoa; Chordata; Mammalia; Primates; Hominidae
Exons: 2
Source: RefSeq, a predicted model, not a curated record